This 466-nucleotide ribosomal RNA is filed under the name uncultured bacterium. RNAcentral describes it as "partial 16S ribosomal RNA". It matches the Rfam family "Bacterial small subunit ribosomal RNA", at positions 28 to 507 of the family's 1533-position model. The record is from RNAcentral.
GAUGAACGCUGGCGGCGUGCUUAACACAUGCAAGUCGAACGGUGAAAGAGAGCUUGCUCUCUGGAUCAGUGGCGAACGGGUGAGUAACACGUGAGCAAUCUGCCCCUGACUCUGGGAUAAGCGCUGGAAACGGCGUCUAAUACCGGAUACGAGCUGCGAAGUCAUCUUCAGCAGCUGGAAAGAACUUCGGUCAGGGAUGAGCUCGCGGCCUAUCAGCUAGUUGGUGAGGUAACGGCUCACCAAGGCGUCGACGGGUAGCCGGCCUGAGAGGGUGACCGGCCACACUGGGACUGAGACACGGCCCAGACUCCUACGGGAGGCAGCAGUGGGGAAUAUUGCACAAUGGGCGAAAGCCUGAUGCAGCAACGCCGCGUGAGGGACGACGGCCUUCGGGUUGUAAACCUCUUUUAGCAGGGAAGAAGCGAAAGUGACGGUACCUGCAGAAAAAGCACCGGCUAACUACGUG